This 924-nucleotide ribosomal RNA is filed under the name Heterotergum artemisiae. Its description in RNAcentral is "partial 28S ribosomal RNA". It matches the Rfam family "Eukaryotic large subunit ribosomal RNA", at positions 366 to 944 of the family's 3401-position model. Lineage: Eukaryota; Metazoa; Arthropoda; Arachnida; Trombidiformes; Eriophyidae. The record is from RNAcentral.
AAAUAGAACUUUGCAGAGAGAGUUAAGAGGGCGUGAACCGUUAAUUGGCAAACGAAUCGGAGCCACGAAGUCGUUUCGCCGUUGAGUCGGGGCCAAGUUCAGCUGGUAUUCAUCCGAGUAUCGGUGUAUUCUUGGUCUGGCCAACUUUGUAAGCGUACACUGCAACUGGUUAGACGAUUGGUAAUGGGCCAAGUUGGCUUGCCGAGCAAUCGGCUUGUUGACGACGCAUUUGUAUGCUCGUGUUAGCAGUGGCGCGGUGCCUCUCGGGGUACUCGCGUUGCUUGGCGCGUGGCAUGUGAACUAUCACCAAAUACUGACCAGCGAAAUGAAAAUCGCCUCUUGGCGUUAAAGAUAAAGCGGCUAGUAACAUAGGUGUCUACACGCACGACUGUUGGGUCUAAGCUCGGCAUCUUUGAAUUCAGACUUGCUUGCUAUCAGUGGGGCAACUCCUGGUGCUUGUAUAGCUUCUGUCUAAUCGGGUGUUGACUUGGCCUAGCAUUGUUCGGACGUGAACCGAUUGGAUGCAAAUGUGAACUAGUUUGCAAUAUGAAUUGGCAGUGAGUAGGUCGGCUUUCCGAACGACCCGUCUUGAAACACGGACCAAGGAGUCUAAUUAGGCAUCGAUCGGUCUUGAUAGGCCAGAUAGGUGCGUUUAUCCCACCGACUGAAGGCGUAGAGAAAUCAAAUCGUGUGAUCCAAGUGGCAAUAACAGCCAUUCGGCGCAACAUGUGCCUGUUCAAUGGCUAGUGUUAGCAAUAACCUGCCGAGCGGAACAAAAAAAUGCCUGAUUGGGACCCGAAAGAUGGUGAACUAUGCCUGGGCAAAUUGAAGCCAGAAGAAACUCUGGUGGAGGAUUGUAGCGAUUCUGACGUGCAAAUCGAUCGUCAAACCUGGGUAUAGGGGCCAAAGACUAAUCCAACCAUC